UUCUGACCUCGAAUCAGGA
RNAcentral lists this ribosomal RNA (19 nucleotides) under Hydnum repandum. Its description in RNAcentral is "partial 28S ribosomal RNA". The record is from RNAcentral. Lineage: Eukaryota; Fungi; Basidiomycota; Agaricomycetes; Cantharellales; Hydnaceae.